This 3743-nucleotide long non-coding RNA is filed under the name Nicotiana benthamiana. RNAcentral's name for it is "long non-coding RNA (NBEN_LNC041928)". Lineage: Eukaryota; Viridiplantae; Streptophyta; Magnoliopsida; Solanales; Solanaceae. The record is from RNAcentral.
CUAGGUUUAUUAACAACAUGGAUCACCCCACACAAUGCCCGGCAAUCACACCUCAAAGAGGGGCUACGCAUGGCAUUAUGGCAUGGUCAUCAUAUCCAUAUAUACCCUUCCCACCUCAUUAAGGUAUUAAAGCAUGUAAUGGUCUAGUUUACUUAUUGCAUGAUAUUACCCGUCAUAAUUCUAUCAGUCCCCAGAAGCAUUUAGGACUACUAGUACCAAAGGGGAAGGACAUUUGAGCUUAUUUGGUGGUUUUAAAAGAAUAAAUUCUAAGGCGACAUACAAAAAUAUGAAUAGCAAGUUGAGGGAAAGCAUAUAACAAGUAAAAAGGCUCAGAUAUACCUCCUUUAGACAGAGAACGGAUUUAAUUAGCAUGACUUACACAUGUUGUUUAGGUUCUGAUUAAGAACUUAUAGGUUGAGGCAGACUGAUUUAUCACAUAAUUCAGAUAAGAAGUCCCAAUCAAGCCUGCCUGCUGGUUGUAGUUAUUAAAAUAACUGAUUUAAUUUAAACCUUACCUUAAGGCUUGUCUAAGUGGGACAAGGAUCCUAUAGGCAUGGUAUCUACUGAAUUCAGAACGUGAUAAUAAUAAAUGAAUACAUACUGGUUAAAAGAUAGUGAGAUAUUAAAGAAAGGAAAGUUCUUACAGAGGUUGUAAGUUCUGCAAAUGAUACAUCGUUAUUACUGGUUUUAGGCUUAUACGUGAAUGGAGUGAUUCAGAUUUCAAUUGAUAGUUCCUAUAGCCAUAAUUUCUAUGUGUUGUUGAUUUUAAUCCCUUUUAUAGACAUGGUGAAAAUGCAUAUGCCUUAUCGAUAUGAUAUCUAGAUGUUAAAUUUCAUUUAAUGCCUAUGGACAUGAUAUCUAAUUGCAGUUGAUUCGUCUAAGACAUAUGAACAUGAUUGCUAGAUAAGGAAUGGAUAUGCAAGAUUCAGAAGGACCUAUAGGAAUAUUUCUAUAUGCAUAUGUAGAAUUUAAAUUUUUAGAAAUACUUAUGGACAAGAUAUCUAUAUGAGAAUGCAGAAUUCAGAAACGUCUAUAGACAUGGCAUCUAUGUGAGAAAUGCAGAAUUCAGAAAUACCUAUAGACAUGGUAUUUAUGUGAGAAAUGCAGAAUUCAGAAAUACCUAUAGACAUGGUAUCUAUAUGAGAGAAUGCAGAAUUCAAAAAACACCUAUAGACAUGGUUUCUAUAUGAGAGAAUGCAUAAUUCAUAGAUACCUAUAGGCAUGAUAUUUACCAUACGUAGUUACCCGCCCUUUUUUCACUAGCCAUCCCUAGGAGUUUAUUACAAAUUAUUACAGCCCACAAUAAAGUAAAAGAAUAUAUCAGAAAUUGAAAGUACAACUAAGGAGAGCCUGAUUCAUACUUCAUGUCUGAAAUAUGAGAUUAAACAACUCCAAGAGAUCAUGAUGCAAAGCCUUUCUCCCAUUUGAAUGCGUUAAAGUUCCCUAAGAGCCUCAAAUGGGACUCUAGGAAAUGCUCACACCCAAAUACAUUAUCAAAUUAGGACAAGUGUAGUGUGGAAAGGACAGCACCCCAAGUGUCCAAUUUCAGAGGGAACUCAAGGUCCUAAGGCAAGGUUCACAAGAGGGGGGUGAAAACUAGAGACUAAGAGAGAGUAAAAGUGCAUAAGCAGAAUUCUAAGAGUGAAAAAGGGGGAAGACAAGUACACGUAAGAGGUUUAGGGGGGUAGGGAAAUUGAAAGAGCAAGGGCAGGCUGUGGGCAUACCCAACAAUGGAGAAUGCUAGCACACUCAUAAGCCUGUUAGAACACACUAUUAGAGGCUAGGAUCUUGGGAUUAGGUUUAAUUCAUGGACAAUAAUCUACAUAUUGCCAUGACUUAAGCCAUAGCUCAAACAUAUAAGGGGCGGGGUUUGGGGAUUCAUAAUAGAAACAAGCAGAAAGAAUCAACAUGCUAAUUUGAAUGUUGGAACUACACAGAAACAGUAAAUAGACAUGGAUACAAAAGCAGUAAAUAGACACAUUUAUUCUGGUUCUUAAGCUUAAAUCAGGACAUACCAGUUUCAAAGAGACAAAUAGAGAAAAGCAGCAGGUCUUGUAAACACGCCACGGUGUAGACAGGAAGAGAUAACACCAUUGUGUAUAAGUGUAAGUUCAUAAAGAUUAUGAAUGUCUCCGUUUUUUAAUGAAAGAGUCCUGCAUUUAUAGUGUGAAAAUCAGGCAGACAUAAGGUUAAAAAAUAGUUAAGGAACAUGUCAAUCAUGAAUCAAGCACAGAAGACUUCCUUUAAUUAAGGAAUUCAUAUUCAAACGGGAAAACUAUUUAAAGGAAGAAAUCAAAUAAACAUCUUGUACAAAGCAUGAAAUUAGGGGUAAAUACAUAAAAGUUACUUAAGGCAGAAUUUUAAAAUACACGAUUGCAUAAAUUAGGUAAGAAAAAUCAAAUAGUAGCUAGUAAAUCAAGGAUCAGAGAUUUUGUGAUCAUUGGUUCAUGAAUGAACCAAGUUAGAAAAGUUAGGGAAAGCCAGGUAACUUAAAUCGAGUCAUGGGGAAAUCAGCAAAUAGUGAAAGAAAUCAAUCAGACAUAUACAGAAGGGAGUCUGAGCUAAUCACAAAUUUGAAAGCCAUUUUAGAGGGAAGUUCAGCACAUAUAAAAAACACACAAACAUCUUAAGCUGAAAGAAGAUGUUGUGUCAAUGAAAAAUCUGUAGAUAAUAGACUAUAGGAGCAUGGUAGCCACAUAGGUCAGCAAUAUAGAAGAGAAGUAACAUCUAGUAGCAUACAAAAGAUCCAGUGUAAAAGACCUUAGAAAAGCUUAGUGGAAAAUUAAGAUUGCUUAAAGGAUAGGGGUUGAGACAAAGAAUUUCGAGACUCGCUUGAGAAAUAAGUUCAGAACCUCGAAAUAGUCUGUGUUUCUGAACUCAGACACCUUUAAAGAUGAAGAACAAACAUAUCUCAAAGCCAAUGUUCUCAAACUUUGGAUGAACCCCUAAAUUUUAGGGUUUCACUAUCAAUCGAGUGCCGAUAUGAGAGGGCAAGUAAUCAAGAAAGCAAAAGAUACUAGUCGAAACAAGCUCAUAAAGGAUCUAGGACCUUUGACAUGCUUUUUUGAUAACAAAAACUCAUGAGAAACAUAGUAAAAGAGUAAUAUGUAACUCACUGUAGAAGUACUGGUAUAAGAAACAAAUAAGAACAUCGUAGGAGAAUCUUAACAAGAGCACAAUAGGAGCAAUAUAAUAGAAUAACAUGGUAGAAGAGAUUUAACAAGAACACAUUAGGAGAAACAUAGUAGAAAAACACACAAGAAAAGAAUAAAACCAAAGAAACACACAAGAAAAUCAUAUAAGCUCAACAUAAAACACUAACUCGGAAAAUAAAGGUUUUGAAACUAUAACAUUUGAAAAAACUAUCAGAAAAUCGUUUAAAAACUCAAGGGAAGCAUAAACCUAGAACAGAUCUAAAGAGAUCAGAAAAACCUCAAAGCUAAGGUUUUCAGAGGAACCCAAACAGUGAGAAAGGCUUGGAUCUAAGCAGGAUGAGUUGAGGCCAGGCUCGAAUAGAUACGGUUUGCCGUAGCAAGGCCAGAGAUGGACGUGGAACUUGAAUCGACAAAAGUCUGGACCCAACUCUUCAUGGUCGAGUCAUGAAGCUUCAGUUAACAAAACGUGAGGAGCCAUAUGUGGCUUGGUGGGUGGUGAAACCACCAUAGACUUAGGUUAAAAUGUGGUCAGAUAAAAUGAAGGUAACUCAUUGGAAAGGAGGGAAGGGGGAAGGCUUUAGAGAGAAG